AGGAAGGUAGUGUAGUUAACACCUGCAUAUUUGACGUUACCUACAGAAGAAGCACCGGCUAACUCCGUGCCAGCAGCCGCGGUAAUACGGAGGGUGCGAGCGUUAAUCGGAAUUACUGGGCGUAAAGCGCAUGCAGGCGGCCUGUUAAGUCAGAUGUGAAAGACCCGGGGCGUUAACCUCGGAAUUGCAUUUGAAACUAGGCAGGCUAGAGUCUUGUUAGAGGGGGGUAGGAAGUUUCUAGGUGUAGCGGUGAAAUAGCGUAGAGAUCUGAAGGAAUACCAGUGGCGAAGGCGGCCCCCUCGGACAAAGACUGACGCUCAGAUGCGAAAGCGUGGGGAGCAAACAGGAUUAGAUACCCUGGUAG
Molecule: ribosomal RNA, 364 nt
Filed under: uncultured bacterium
Lineage: Bacteria
Description: bacterial SSU rRNA
Rfam family: Bacterial small subunit ribosomal RNA
Source: RNAcentral